GUAGCGACCUCGUCACGAGUAACCUCCAGUGACGGAAAGUAGAAAAAUGUAACGCCCGUAGGCAAAAUGUACAAUCCCAAAAUGAUAGGUCAAGUGUCAGCAACACAAGCCCUCAAAAAUAAGAAUAAGUCAGAGCUAUGACACUAACACCCAACCUUAGUAGACUCUAAACACCCAUCCCCCAUACUUCCAUCAUCGACUCUCAUCUGGUCAUGCAUGAAGUCCGGGUCCACGUCGAAGGCUCAGUAGUAGUCAUCUCGC
RNAcentral lists this long non-coding RNA (261 nucleotides) under Lotus japonicus. RNAcentral's name for it is "long non-coding RNA (LJAP_LNC001165)". Lineage: Eukaryota; Viridiplantae; Streptophyta; Magnoliopsida; Fabales; Fabaceae. The record is from RNAcentral.